CGUUAAAAACGAAAGCGAAACAGGAAGUAAUGUCUGUUAAGUCGUUCGUUUUCUGGUUAUGGAAAAGAAGAGGAUAAAAUGGACUGAUUGAUACAGAGAUCCAGGAGGUACUGAAAAAGGGACAAUGCUUCGACUGAAUGUGUCAUCCAUGUACCAGUGUAGACCUGUUAAUGAGGCAUAUCCAAUAAUUCUUAUACUCAUGAAGAGUGCGGCAACUCCCAAGUAGUUAAGGAUGGCAAGCAUUUUAAAUCAGAUCCUCACUUCUAGGAUGUUUUCCAUGUUCUUGUGAAAAGUGUUUUACAUGGCACCAUUCAGCUACAAAUACUUUGCCGGUGGAACUGUGACAUCAAUCAACUGCUCAUGCCACUGCUAAUUGGCAGAAUUUCCUUUGGGACAAACAAACUGUUUCAAAUAUUUAACACCUGCAAGUAGUGAUGAGUGUACUGGAAGUUUUUUCGGGAUCUUGUCCGACAUCAUAGGUACAACUGGUCACUGUGCUUUCUUGGUUAUAUAAGCAGGCAUAUUGUUAAAGCGGUGACACAUGUAGCUUCAAAUGAUACUUGACUGUUUAAGUGUUUUUCUUUGAUUUAUAAGUAAACCUCGAUUGAUCUCUGAUGCAGUAAUAUAGAGCCAUGUCCAUUCUUUAAUAUUCCAUCAUCCCACUGUCACAAAGUACUGAAAUAAAAAUGAUUUUGAUUUUAAAAA
Molecule: long non-coding RNA, 705 nt
Organism: Saccostrea cuccullata (small rock oyster)
Lineage: Eukaryota; Metazoa; Mollusca; Bivalvia; Ostreida; Ostreidae
Exons: 4
Source: RefSeq, a predicted model, not a curated record